UAAUAUAAUAUAUUAUUUGUAAGUAUAUUAUUUCCUGUGCGACGUGUCCAUUAUACGGGUCUUCUGUUGGUGCGCUGCUGCUUCUACCUCAUCGGGGUAGCUCCAGUCCGACGAUAUAAUAUUAUUGUUACAUAGACAUCGGCCGUGUGCAGUACGCUGGACGGUUAUUCGUUUCCAAUCGAAUUUUCUUACGACGGUAAUCCCACCAACAGACGUUUUUUCUGCCUACAUUUUUUAUUUUCACUCCGCGAAUCUGGUCGUGAUAAAUUGUACGUUUUUUUUUUACUCGAUAACUAUACGCACUAUUCGUCUACACCAUGAACUCGUCAAAGAAUUCGUCCAGCAAUAAUAACAACAAUAGUAUGCAGGACUACUACAUAAAACGGCAAAAGAACAACGAGGCGGCCAAGACUAGCAGAUUAAAGAAAAAGGAACAAGAAAUGGAGAUCGCUAAGAAGAAGCAAAAACUCGAGAUUACUUACGUAAAAUUGCAAAAACAAAUAAACCGUAUGCAAUCGGUCCGUGCUUAAAAAUGCAAUUUAUUCAAGAACAUACGCAAGUCCCCAAAGCUGUCGGUAACACUAGAUCACAUUACUGGAAGUAUAAAAAUAAGUAAAUAUGGCGUUCCCUAGUCAUAUGGUUUUAUUAUUAUUAAUUUUAAUUUUAAUUGAUUAUAUGUACACAAAUAUUUAUAAUAAUAAGUAGGCAUAGAAAGCAUGUGCACAACUAUCAUGUCCAUAACGUUUUUAUUUUAUAUUAACAUACAAAUACACGCGUGUUAUAAAUUACAAAAUUUAGUGUACAAUGCUUCUAAAUUCUAAUCACAGCUUAUACACAUUGCACUUAUUUUUUUAUUUUUUUUUUCUUCAUAUUUAUAAAUUAUAAUAUUAUUAAUUAUUGUUUAAUCACUUCUUAAGUUAACACUUCUUAGUAUAAUAAUUUGACGUACCUAUUGUAUUGUUGUGAAAUUUAAUUGAAAAAUACACCUAUAUAUUUUAAUUAUUUGAUAAUCUUGUAUAACUGUAAGUUUUUAUUUAUUUUUUUAUGCAUUAAAUAAAAUAAGUUUUUCAUUUCUA
Acyrthosiphon pisum (pea aphid) is the source of this 1076-nucleotide long non-coding RNA. RefSeq lists it as uncharacterized. Lineage: Eukaryota; Metazoa; Arthropoda; Insecta; Hemiptera; Aphididae. The record is from RefSeq and is a predicted model, not a curated record. The transcript is spliced from 2 exons.